UACGAAGGGUGCAAACGUUGUCCGGAAUUAUUGGGCGUAAAGAGCUCGUAGGCGGUCUGUCGCGUCGGUCGUGAAAACUUGGGGCUUAACCCUGAGCUUGCGGUCGAUACGGGCAUGACUGGAGUUCGGCAGGGGAGACUGGAAUUCCUGGUGUAGCGGUGAAAUGCGUAGAUAUCUGGAGGAAUACCGAUGGCGAAGGCGGCUUCCUGGCCCAAUACUGACACUCAGGUGCGACAGCGUGGGGAGCAAACAGG
This 254-nucleotide ribosomal RNA is filed under the name uncultured bacterium. Its description in RNAcentral is "partial 16S ribosomal RNA". It matches the Rfam family "Bacterial small subunit ribosomal RNA", at positions 524 to 776 of the family's 1533-position model. The record is from RNAcentral.